GCGGACGUACCCAAGUGGUUGAAGGGGCGAGUUUGCUAAACUUGUAGUAGUCGUAAGGCUAGCGGAGGUUCAAAUCCUCUCGUCCGCGCCA
Molecule: transfer RNA, 91 nt
Filed under: Clostridia bacterium
Lineage: Bacteria; Bacillati; Bacillota; Clostridia
Description: tRNA-Ser
Rfam family: tRNA
About the family: Transfer RNA (tRNA) molecules are approximately 80 nucleotides in length. Their secondary structure includes four short double-helical elements and three loops (D, anti-codon, and T loops).
Source: RNAcentral